Molecule: ribosomal RNA, 253 nt
Filed under: uncultured bacterium
Lineage: Bacteria
Description: partial 16S ribosomal RNA
Rfam family: Bacterial small subunit ribosomal RNA
Source: RNAcentral
UACGGAGGGGGCUAGCGUUGCUCGGAAUUACUGGGCGUAAAGCGCGCGUAGGCGGAUCUGCAAGUCGGGGGUGAAAUCCCGAGGCUCAACCUCGGAACUGCCUUCGAUACUGCGGGUCUCGAGUCCGGGAGAGGUGAGUGGAAUUCCUAGUGUAGAGGUGAAAUUCGUAGAUAUUAGGAAGAACACCAGUGGCGAAGGCGGCUCACUGGCCCGGUACUGACGCUGAGGCGCGAAAGCGUGGGGAGCAAACAGG